GACGAACGCGGCGGCGUGCCUAAUACAUGCAAGUAGAACGCUGAAGGAGGAGCUUGCUCUUCUGGAUGAGUUGCGAACGGGUGAGUAACGCGUAGGUAACCUGCCUGGUAGCGGGGGAUAACUAUUGGAAACGAUAGCUAAUACCGCAUAAUAGCAGUUGUUGCAUGACAACUGUUUAAAAGGUGCAAUUGCAUCACUACCAGAUGGACCUGCGUUGUAUUAGCUAGUUGGUGGGGUAACGGCUUACCAAGGCGACGAUACAUAGCCGACCUGAGAGGGCGAUCGGCCACACUGGGACUGAGACACGGCCCAGACUCCUACGGGAGGCAGCAGUAGGGAAUCUUCGGCAAUGGACGGAAGUCUGACCGAGCAACGCCGCGUGAGUGAAGAAGGUUUUCGGAUCGUAAAGCUCUGUUGUAAGAGAAGAAACGAGUGUGAGAG
Molecule: ribosomal RNA, 441 nt
Filed under: Streptococcus mitis
Lineage: Bacteria; Bacillati; Bacillota; Bacilli; Lactobacillales; Streptococcaceae
Description: bacterial SSU rRNA
Rfam family: Bacterial small subunit ribosomal RNA
Source: RNAcentral